ACAUGCAAGUCGAACGAUGAACCACUUCGGUGGGGAUUAGUGGCGAACGGGUGAGUAACACGUGGGUAAUCUGCCCUUCACUCUGGGACAAGCCCUGGAAACGGGGUCUAAUACCGGAUAUCACUUGCGCAGGCAUCUGUGCGGGUUGAAAGCUCCGGCGGUGAAGGAUGAGCCCGCGGCCUAUCAGCUUGUUGGUGAGGUAACGGCUCACCAAGGCGACGACGGGUAGCCGGCCUGAGAGGGCGACCGGCCACACUGGGACUGAGACACGGCCCAGACUCCUACGGGAGGCAGCAGUGGGGAAUAUUGCACAAUGGGCGCAAGCCUGAUGCAGCGACGCCGCGUGAGGGAUGACGGCCUUCGGGUUGUAAACCUCUUUCAGCAGGGAAGAAGCGCAAGUGACGGUACCUGCAGAAGAAGCGCCGGCUAACUACGUGCCAGCAGCCGCGGUAAUACGUAGGGCGCAAGCGUUGUCCGGAAUUAUUGGGCGUAAAGAGCUCGUAGGCGGCUUGUCACGUCGGGUGUGAAAGCCCGGGGCUUAACCCCGGGUCUGCAUUCGAUACGGGCAGGCUAGAGUGUGGUAGGGGAGAUCGGAAUUCCUGGUGUAGCGGUGAAAUGCGCAGAUAUCAGGAGGAACACCGGUGGCGAAGGCGGAUCUCUGGGCCAUUACUGACGCUGAGGAGCGAAAGCGUGGGGAGCGAACAGGAUUAGAUACCCUGGUAGUCCACGCCGUAAACGGUGGGAACUAGGUGUUGGCGACAUUCCACGUCGUCGGUGCCGCAGCUAACGCAUUAAGUUCCCCGCCUGGGGAGUAC
Molecule: ribosomal RNA, 815 nt
Filed under: Streptomyces griseorubiginosus
Lineage: Bacteria; Bacillati; Actinomycetota; Actinomycetes; Kitasatosporales; Streptomycetaceae
Description: bacterial SSU rRNA
Rfam family: Bacterial small subunit ribosomal RNA
Source: RNAcentral